UCCUUUAUUUUUCAUGCUUGCGACCGUGAUUCGGGAACGUUGAGUGCCAGGAUACCCCUCCGGCUGUCCGGAUGCCUAAAACGGAUUAGAUAGCAAGGGCCGGGAAAGACCGGUGCCGACCGCCGCGGUAACACCGGCGGCUCGAGGGCCAACCUUUCUUAUCGUGAUCUAAAGGGUCUGUAGCCGUGCUAGGUCACUCUCUAGGGAAAUCCGGUAACUUAAAUGGCAUGUUUUCAAGACAUACUGACUGGCUCCAGACCAGGAAGAAGAGAGAGGCACUUCGUGGGUAGGGGAGAAAUCUUGUAAUCCUUGAAGGACCUCCAGUGACGAAGGCUCUCUCACACAGAACGGACACUGACAGCGAGGAACGAAGGCUAGGGGCACGAACCGGAUUACAUACCCGGGUAGUCCUAGCCGUAAUCGAUACUCGCUAGGUGUCUGCCACCGAGCCACCGAGGUCACUGACAUAAGUAAUGCAUGAAGCCAGCCGCCUGGUAAGUACGGCCGCAUGGCUGAUACUUAAAUGAAUUGGCGAGCAACCACAAAGA
Molecule: ribosomal RNA, 548 nt
Filed under: uncultured archaeon
Lineage: Archaea
Description: bacterial SSU rRNA
Rfam family: Archaeal small subunit ribosomal RNA
Source: RNAcentral